CUGUACAAGAAGACAGACUCAGAAGCACUCAAGCACGGGCGCCCUUUUGUGUGUUGUGUGUGUCUGCAUCGUCGCUCUGUCGUUUUGCCUCACACUUUCUGCCCUUUCUUUGUUCGUCUCUGUCUCAUUUUCUUUUUUUCUUUGUAUUCUUCGCGUGCGCGUUCUCCCUUUUGCUAGCUGUUCCUUCCCUUGUACUAUCUAAAUGGUAACGCGGGCACUGCAAGAGCGCGAUGAAGACCCACCGUCGCCAUGCCACCGUCGAGGAGGUGAUUGACCCCUCUCCGUUCGACUACACCCUUCUGAGCCACCUCUACGUGCAUUCCGACGGAACGGAUGUGAUCGACUUCAGCGGCCUCGCUCCUGGCAAAGAGAGCCGAUGCCGUGUGAACUCCUUCUUAAAGAACCGCAGCUUCGCUCCAGGGAUGACGGAGGCAGAGCCUGAGGCUGUCGGGUCGUACUUGCACCUGCGCAUCGAGGAAAACGAUCGGAGUACAGUGGACGACUCGGAGUGCUGCAAGAUCCCUGGUGCACACACCUCAGCGCCCCCGAGAGGCGGGUCGGCCCCUGCGUCGAACCUAGUGCGCAUCGAGGACAGCGCGGAGCACUGGUGGUUCAUGUGCCAGGCCGCAGAGGACACUGCACCGUACGCGCGACUCUUCCACGGAGCAGGGGACCUUCUCAGCUACCUAGAGCAGCACAACCUUCAGCUGCCGACAGGCAGGAGCUGGAUGAGCGACCCUUCGACUGACGCAGGGUUGCCGCAUGGCGGACAACCUCAGCCGCACCAGCACAGCAGCAACAGUGUUACCGGCGGCACCACAUCCAUCCUGCCACUGACGAAGUGGCUGGACAUCCAGAUUGACCGCUCGAACCCGCGCAGUGCGGAGCGAGUCGCCCAACUCCUGAAUCGCUUGCCGAUUUCGCAGGAAACCAAGGACAGCUGCUUGUACCUGUCCACGGUUGAUUCGAUCGACAUUAGCCUGCUGGCCACUAGCGACGUUUCCAGCACCAUGUCCGACUAUGUUUUCCUCAACUUGAUGUGCACGCCUGUGGUGGAAAAUGAUGUGAACUGCGCAGGCGCCACGACUGCCACCACCGCGUCGGACGAAAAGAGGUUCCUGCAUGGACUGGGCGGCGGCAAUUUCGGCUUCUCGAGCACGGACAAGAAAAAACGAACGGCGAAGUCGGGAAAGACGCAAAAGCGUAGUGCUGCUCACGUUUCGUCGCAGGGGACCCUCUCGGCCACGCGAAGUGUGAUGGAGAUGCGCUUCGAGGCGGUGCGUAUGGGCGCGCCGCGCUCCUCCGUGCCGGAGCCUGUCGCUGUGGCUGUCAUCGUCUUCGCGGAUUGGAUGUUCACCAUACACGAAAAGCCGUUUGCGGAGAUGGACGACAUGCUGCGCAUGGUGCAGCUACACUGUGCACCAUCAGAGGUGACUACCUCACAUCUGCGCUACGCCGCUGCCCUGUCGCCAACAAUGCAGCGUCGCUUCACUGCGCCGUUUGCGAUGAGUGUUCUCCUGCAAAUUGUGGUGGGGCAUCACCUCGACAGCAUCACCCUCGCCAAGGCGGUCGACGCGCUUGGUGAUUGUGUCUUCGACGUCAGGGAACGAAAGAGGGACCAGGAUGCCGUCUUGAAGCACAUCACUGCCGUUCGGCGCUGCUUUGGCGAGUGCGGUACCGAGACAGCACGGCGUGAGGUGCUCUUCGCAUCUCUGCUGCAGCCCAUGUUUGCAGACAGGUUCUUUGUGGCUGAUCCUACCAUUCGCCGUGAACUGGAGAACGCCCAGGCGCACUUGCGGCACUUCCAGCGAGACAUUGCGGAUUGCCGCGACACGGUCGCCCUCUCGAACUGGCAUAACAAUGUCGCCAUUCAGUGGGUGCUGCUGCGCCGCGGUAACCGUGCUCUUCGCAUGGUCCUCCUCCUCGCGCAAAUGACAAACAUCAUGCAGCCAAUCGUGAUUGUGCAGACGCUCUACGCCAUGAACGUCCCGUUGCCAUUUGAGGCGGACGGCGACCCACCGCACACGACGCUGGCGCCGUUUUUUGUCUUGGCCGCUAUCUUCCUCAUCUACUGCGGUCUCACUGUUGGGUCCAUUCGACACGUGCUUGUUCGUAAGUCCUUCGAGACACGGCUACUGGCCUAAGUGCGCCAAUAAGAGCAGCACGCGUAGUCCGUAAAUUUUGACUGCACAUCAAGAUAACCCUAUCUCUCAAAAGGAAAGUAUCUAAGAGGCGUGGCAAAAAGAAAAAUGGGUGUGGGGAAGCAGAACAGAGGAAGGUGGACGAAAAAGGCAUUAGUUGCGUAUGCUGAUGGUGAGUCGAAAAGAGGGGCGGCGAGACCGUCAUGCACACAGUCGUCACACAAUCUGUCUUCUCAAGCCAAGACCGCGGUUUACACAUAUGUGAAAAGUAGCGUGUGACAAGAGUGCGAGAGCUGCUCACCAUUGCGUCUCUUUUCCUCUCGCUUUGCAUGUUCAUCCCCACAAGGGUGUGCUCCUUCGCCGCCUGUCCUCAGGUGCUUUUCUCUGUCUCACGCCACUUCCGCGGCUUCGUAAGCUUGUUGGAGUGCUGUUGUUGCGCCCUUGCCACCCUCAUCCUCAGCGCUACGUUUUCUCUCUGUGUUGUUUUUGUGACGGCAAAGAAAGUUGAUCUCCCUCCCUCCCUCUCUCUCUCUUUGUUGGUGCGUUAAAGCACUCAUGCGCAAGUCACGGGCGCACGAGAGCACCACCCCGGGCGCUCGACGAUGAGAAGGAGCGCGGAAAACCAGAACGAACGAAACAGAAAACCAUUUGACCUUGCCAGACGUGCAAAGCGACGGUGUUUUUUUUUUGUUGUUUUUGUUUUUUUGUUGUUGGUUGUUCAUGUGCGUGCGUGUGUGGACGUCUGCGAGUCACGGAGACGUGGGCAAAGCAACAG
RNAcentral lists this unclassified non-coding RNA (2916 nucleotides) under Leishmania donovani. Its description in RNAcentral is "gene:LdHU3.36.1570(CDS-product:hypothetical_prote in_conserved)". The record is from RNAcentral. Lineage: Eukaryota; Euglenozoa; Kinetoplastea; Trypanosomatida; Trypanosomatidae.